GCUGGGUGUGGUGGCUUGCACCUGUAAUCUCAGCUACUCAGGAGGCUGAGGCAGGAGAAUUGCUUGAACCCAGGAGGUGGAGGUUGCAGUGAGCUGAGAUCGUGCCACUGCACUCCAGCCUGGGUGGCAGAGCAAGAUUCUGUCUUGGAAAAAAAAAAAUUAACAGACUAAUUUAAUGAUCACCCAAAGCUGAGUGAUGUCAUUGCAAUCCAGCCUGGGUGACAGAGCAAGACUCUGUCUCA
RNAcentral lists this small RNA (242 nucleotides) under Pan troglodytes (chimpanzee). RNAcentral's name for it is "Metazoan signal recognition particle RNA (ENSPTRG00000045604.1)". Lineage: Eukaryota; Metazoa; Chordata; Mammalia; Primates; Hominidae. The record is from RNAcentral.